AAAUGAGUGUCUCAGGGGGGAUACCAGGAUCACAAAGGUGGUUUUCCCAGGGCGAGGCUUAUCCAUUGCACUCUGGAUGUGCUGACCCCUGCGAUUUCCCCAAAUGUGGGAAACUCGACUGCAUAAUUUGGGUAGUGGGGGACUGCGUUCACGAUUUCCUA
RNAcentral lists this small nuclear RNA (161 nucleotides) under Cebus imitator (Panamanian white-faced capuchin). Its description in RNAcentral is "U1 spliceosomal RNA (ENSCCAG00000019292.1)". It matches the Rfam family "U1 spliceosomal RNA". From Rfam's summary of the family: U1 is a small nuclear RNA (snRNA) component of the spliceosome (involved in pre-mRNA splicing). Its 5' end forms complementary base pairs with the 5' splice junction, thus defining the 5' donor site of an intron. Lineage: Eukaryota; Metazoa; Chordata; Mammalia; Primates; Cebidae. The record is from RNAcentral.